This 422-nucleotide ribosomal RNA is filed under the name uncultured bacterium. RNAcentral's name for it is "bacterial SSU rRNA". It matches the Rfam family "Bacterial small subunit ribosomal RNA", at positions 355 to 774 of the family's 1533-position model. The record is from RNAcentral.
UGAGGAAUAUUGGUCAAUGGACGAGAGUCUGAACCAGCCAAGUAGCGUGAAGGAUGACUGCCCUAUGGGUUGUAAACUUCUUUUAUACGGGAAUAAAGUGGAGUAUGCAUACUCCUUUGUAUGUACCGUAUGAAUAAGGAUCGGCUAACUCCGUGCCAGCAGCCGCGGUAAUACGGAGGAUCCGAGCGUUAUCCGGAUUUAUUGGGUUUAAAGGGAGCGUAGGCGGGUGCUUAAGUCAGUUGUGAAAGUUUGCGGCUCAACCGUAAAAUUGCAGUUGAUACUGGGCGCCUUGAGUGCAGCAUAGGUAGGCGGAAUUCGUGGUGUAGCGGUGAAAUGCUUAGAUAUCACGAAGAACUCCGAUUGCGAAGGCAGCUUACUGGACUGUAACUGACGCUGAUGCUCGAAAGUGUGGGUAUCAAACA